CACUGUAAAAAAUUAUUUAGCAGUUUAGUUGUUUCAAUGAAUUUUUUUAUGUUGACACAACUUGCAGUUACUGAAUUUGUUCAUUCAACUAAAAAUUGUAAGUUUUCAGUGUCUCAACUAGUUUGAAAGUUGACUGAACUAGGUUAUUUGUCCUCAUAACUAAAAAAAAAUUGUUGACUCAAUUCAAUAGCAAUAUCACGUUCACAACAUCACUUAACGCGAGAUCUCGUCAUUCUCGUGAAGGCUGUUGAAGAGAGAAGAAGGUCGUCAGCCAUUCUAGUCAGUUUCUCCUCAAAGUUUGGACAUUUUACUAGAAUACAACUUUGGUAAGUAAAAUAUUCGUAUUCAUUGGCUUAAUGUGUAAAAUUACAUUUGUUGUCUCAGAAGAGUAAGUAUGGUUUAAAGAGUCUUACAUUCUGUAUAUAAGUUACUGUAUGUAAAUGUUCGUUUCGCGGCACUCUGAAGCCUCAAAAUACAGGCGGUUCCACAGUAUUCUCCUUAUAAAUAUCAAAACAGAUAUUCCCCCAUGCGGGACAGCGGAGCUGAACUUAUGUGGAGAACAAUAAAAAUACAGUCUGUAUGUAUUAUUUGAGCCCAGAGCUGCGUUAGAGACCGUUCAAACAGAGCGCGAGAGCUCAAUGGAUCACUGUAUGGAUUAAGAACGGCGGGAAUUAAAAAAAAGGAACUGCUCUUAACCUGACAGCGUAAGACAUCCGUCAGAAUAUACAACGAUGAAAAAUUAGGAGAUAAAAAGAAGAUUCCUACUCGAACUGUGUCUUUUCUGCAUGUUAUAAGGGAAACAAAUGAGCACCUCCCUCAGAGUUCUUCCGGAGCGCGUAACUUAACGUUACAUUUGAUAUCGCUGACAUAAGCCUAGUGCUGAUGAUUAUUUUACAGUCUACAGUUCAGAUGAAGUUCUGAAGGUAGCGUUACAAACUCUUCUUUCAGUUUUCUGAAGUAACGUUAGUCAUUCAAGUGCCUCACUAGAACCUAGUACCCAGUGUAAUGCUGCGUGAAUAUCUGUUUUUAUAUAGUCUAUGGUGAAUAUACGGUCAUAAGUAAAUUGCAUGCGUUCAAAUCUACAUAUUUUAGAAUAAAAGUAAUAAUAGCAUAUAUCUUGUAUAAAUAGAGAUACAAUAACGAUCGACACAAAUGUGUUAAAUUUCCUUUUAUUGUGUUAUAAUUAUGUGUUGUGUCAUUUAAAAGCAUCGUCUGGAUGGUAUAGUUUGUCUUUGGCAUUUAAUACAAACUUGUCAAUACAUUUGACUUUCUCUGUAAAGAUUUAUUUAUAUGUAUGUUUAUUAUUUUACAGUGUUUUAACAUGUUUUUGUAUUUUUCAUGUUUAUGAUAUUUUGGGAUGACUGAAGAUUCAGCGCAGAAUUCAAUAAUCCUGUGGAUGGACCGCAGCGAGUCCUUUUGCAGUUAUCCAUCAAAAUGCUAUGCAGACAUAAUGGAAAUGGUAUUUACAUUGUAGAGCUUGGACAAAGUUCACACAGGCUCUGCGCAGGAAUUCAUCAAGGACAUGACUGCUGGGAUUACGCUUCUGGAUGACCAAACUGAGCACCAUCAGUCUGCAGUGAUGUGAUCCAGCCAUCCAGUGACAUUAAGGAUGUUGAGAAAGAAAUUGAAGAGGGCAUUCUGAUUGUAUCUGAAGAACAGCAACGUGAUGUGCUUCCCAAGGAAUAACCAACAUUGGUCUCAUUUGGACAUCCUGUCAUCAUCCUGUCAUCACCCAAGGCAUUGGACUCUUAAUGGGUCUGUAUGCAGAGAACAUCCACUACCUUCAGCUCAUUAAAUACACCAUUGAGGCUCUGCAAAAACUUGUGAAGACCAGCUGCUCCCACCAUGUGCUCGCUACAGCGGCAGGAACUGUAGGUGUGGGGGAGUGAAUGUCCACCGCUCUCACCACCCUCAACACCACAAAUAAGGUGUCCUUGAGCAAGGCACAACUUCUCCCCGGGCGCUGCAGCAUAAAUGGCUGCCCACUGCUCUGGGUGUGUGUUCACGGUGUGUGUUCACUGCUGUGUGUGUGCACUUUGGAUGGGUUAAAUGAAGAGCACAAAUGUAUGUCAUGUCACUUUCACUUUUCAGUGUUCAUGAUGUGUCCAUCAGCUCCACAGCACUCUUUUUAGAAUGUACAUUAAAGUUUAUCAUGUCAUGACUUGGAAUAUGCAUGUUCUCAUGUAAAAAAAUGUUGUUUCCCCUCUCAUUUUCUUAAACAGUAUGUACACAUUUUCAGUAUGUAGCAUUAUGAUGGGGGACGAGUUUGGAAACUUUCAAGAUCCUUCUGAUGUUAACACCUCUGUCUGGUCAUGUUGUGCUAUGAAAUUUAGAAUCUGACUAUUUAGAUCUUUGUGCUUCCAUGUGCAUUCAUUCCAUUUAUAUCUUAUUAUACAGAAGUACAGUACACUCAUUUUUUGUAACUAAUUGUGAUAUUAUAUUACAUAUAUCUUGGUUUCUCAUUUUGACCAUGACUUGCAUUAUGGUGGGGGGAGUGCAUGUGAACUUGUGCAGGGUUAAUAUGCAGAGUUCAACCUUCUGAUUUUCAUAUUGCAUUAUGAAAUUAAAAACAAUCCCUGUGGUUUUGAUCUGAUGAAUUGAAAUGCAACUAUUUGUUUCUCAAUCCCAUGCCAAUGUUAUUUAUUAUACAUCACACUUUCAAGUGUCGGUUCAGAUCUUUAGACGUGUUUGUAUUUUGCAUUUUUUGUUUUGUUUAUCAAUUAUCAGUUGAUGUGUUGACAGCAAAUUGCUUGUUCAAUUUAAAUGUGAAUGAAAGUGUUGUCUCUAUCAUUAAAUAAAUUACAUAAAAAAAAGUGUUUUGUCAUCUUUAUUUAAACAUUUAAGGCAGUGGGCUAAAAUUUGUUUAUGAUUAUUGAUCGAAGUAAAAAAAAAAAAAAAUCCCUGUUGACACAACAUGAUUUAGUUGACUGGACUAGAAAAUAAUAGUCAAGUCAACUUAAAGAAAUUUGUUACCUGGACUAACUCCACUCUAAUUUGAAGUUGUUUCAACAAGAAAUUUUUUGUCAAGAUAACAAAAAAUUUUUAGGUAGCGGGGUAACAAAAUAUUUUUAGUUGACUCAACAAAUUCUUUUUUAC
Molecule: long non-coding RNA, 3096 nt
Organism: Carassius gibelio (silver crucian carp)
Lineage: Eukaryota; Metazoa; Chordata; Actinopteri; Cypriniformes; Cyprinidae
Exons: 3
Source: RefSeq, a predicted model, not a curated record